CCUACGGGAGACAGCAGUGAGGAAUAUUGGUCAAUGGACGAGAGUCUGACCCAGCCAAGCAGCGUGAAGGAUGACUGCCCUAUGGGUUGUAAACUUCUUUUAUAAAGGAAUAAAACGAGGCACGUGUGCCUUUUUGCAUGUACUCUAUCAACAAGGAUCGGCUAACUCCGUGCCAGCAGCCGCGGUAAUACGGAGGAUGCGAGCGUUAUACGGAUUGACUGGGUGUAAAGGGAGCGUAGAUGGGUUGUUAAGUCAGUUGUGAAAGUUUGUGGCUCAACCGUGAAAUUGCAAUUGAAACUGGCAGUCUUGAGUGCAGGUGAGGUAAGCGGAAUUCGUGGUGUAGCGGUGAAAUGCUUAGAUAUCACGAAGAACCCCGAUUGCGAAGGCGACUUACUAAACUGUGACUGACAUUGAGGCUCGAAAGUGUGGGUAGCAAACAGGAUUAGAUACCCUUGUAGUC
Molecule: ribosomal RNA, 460 nt
Filed under: uncultured bacterium
Lineage: Bacteria
Description: partial 16S ribosomal RNA
Rfam family: Bacterial small subunit ribosomal RNA
Source: RNAcentral